Molecule: long non-coding RNA, 342 nt
Filed under: Rhinopithecus bieti (black snub-nosed monkey)
Lineage: Eukaryota; Metazoa; Chordata; Mammalia; Primates; Cercopithecidae
Description: lncRNA (ENSRBIG00000045691.1)
Source: RNAcentral
UCAAGACCGUCUCUGCAAAUGAAGCUGUGAACUCCAUGGCUGAGCUGUGUAUCUUGGAAUAGGGCCCAUGUUUAGAUGGAGAGUCAGAUGAUGUAACUCUUUUACGGAACGGAUUCCCUGUAACAACACUAUUCUCUGAUCCAAACAUGUUGGAAUCAUGAAGAGGAUGAUCACUGGAUGAACUGUGACCUUGUUAACAUAUUAGAGAAGUGGAUAGAAUCCAAGGCUCAGACACAUGCAUUCCAGGCAGUCAGGCUGAAGAAGGACAGCUUUGGAGCUGAAGAGGUGGAAGAAAGAUUGCCUGGAGCCACGAGUAAAGAUGUGCAUCUAUCAAGGCCAUGA